This 301-nucleotide ribosomal RNA is filed under the name uncultured bacterium. Its description in RNAcentral is "partial 16S ribosomal RNA". It matches the Rfam family "Bacterial small subunit ribosomal RNA", at positions 509 to 807 of the family's 1533-position model. The record is from RNAcentral.
CAGUCGCCGCGGUAAUACGAAGGGGGCUAGCGUUAAUCGGAAUUACUGGGCGUAAAGCGCACGUAGGCGGCUUGGUAAGUUAGAGGUGAAAGCCUGGAGCUCAACUCCAGAAUUGCCUUUAAGACUGCCGAGCUAGCAGGUGAGAGAGGUAAGUGGAAUUCCGAGUGUAGAGGUGAAAUUCGUAGAUAUUCGGAAGAACACCAGUGGCGAAGGCGGCUUACUGGCUCAUACUGGACGCUGAGGUGCGAAAGCGUGGGGAGCAAACAGGAUUAGAUACCCCCGUAGUCCCUGUCUCUUAUAC